CCUACGGGGGGCUGCAGUGGGGAAUAUUGGACAAUGGGGGAAACCCUGAUCCAGCCAUGCCGCGUGAGUGAUGAAGGCCUUAGGGUUGUAAAGCUCUUUCACCCACGACGAUGAUGACGGUAGUGGGAGAAGAAGCCCCGGCUAACUUCGUGCCAGCAGCCGCGGUAAUACGAAGGGGGCUAGCGUUGUUCGGAAUUACUGGGCGUAAAGCGCACGCAGGCGGUGAUCAUAGUCAGAAGUGAAAGCCCUGGGCUCAACCCGGGAAGUGCUUUUGAUACUGGAUCGCUAGAAUCACGGAGGUGGUAGUGGAAUUCCGAGUGUAGAGGUGAAAUUCGUAGAUAUUCGGAAGAACACCAGUGGCGAAGGCGACUACCUGGCCGUCGAUUGACGCUCAUGUGCGAAAGCGUGGGGAGCAAACAGGAUUAGAUACCCCUGUAGUC
This 440-nucleotide ribosomal RNA is filed under the name uncultured bacterium. RNAcentral describes it as "partial 16S ribosomal RNA". It matches the Rfam family "Bacterial small subunit ribosomal RNA", at positions 338 to 795 of the family's 1533-position model. The record is from RNAcentral.